This 490-nucleotide ribosomal RNA is filed under the name uncultured Sphingobacteriales bacterium. RNAcentral's name for it is "bacterial SSU rRNA". It matches the Rfam family "Bacterial small subunit ribosomal RNA", at positions 888 to 1382 of the family's 1533-position model. The record is from RNAcentral. Lineage: Bacteria; Pseudomonadati; Bacteroidota; Sphingobacteriia; Sphingobacteriales.
CCCGCUCAGAAACUCAAAUGAAUUGACGGGGCCCGCACAAGCGGUGGAGCAUGUGGUUUAAUUCGAUGAUACGCGAGGAACCUUACCUGGGCUCAAAUGUAUGUUGACGUAUUCUGAAAGGGAUACUUCUUCGGACAAUAUACAAGGUGCUGCAUGGUUGUCGUCAGCUCGUGCCGUGAGGUGUCGGGUUAAGUCCCAUAACGAGCGCAACCCCUAUCAUUAGUUGCCAUCAGGUCAAGCUGGGGACUCUAAUGAAACUGCCUACGCAAGUAGUGAGGAAGUGGGGAUGACGUCAAAUCAGCACGGCCCUUACGUCCAGGGCUACACACGUGCUACAAUGGCCGAUACAGAGGGCAGCUACCUGGUGACAGGAUGCAAAUCUCCAAAGUCGGUCUCAGUUCGGAUCGGAGUCUGCAACCCGACUCCGUGAAGUUGGAUUCGCUAGUAAUCGCGCAUCAGCCAUGGCGCGGUGAAUACGUUCCCGGGCCUU